CAGCCUGCUAUUGGCUAUUGCAAUUUGAAAUAAAUAGCAGGCUGACUAUUUUAACCCCGCCCACAAAGCAGAGGAGUGGAUCGGAUAACAUUCUUUCCAAG
This is a long non-coding RNA of Nanorana parkeri, 101 nucleotides long. RefSeq lists it as uncharacterized. The record is from RefSeq and is a predicted model, not a curated record. The transcript is spliced from 3 exons. Lineage: Eukaryota; Metazoa; Chordata; Amphibia; Anura; Dicroglossidae.